Molecule: ribosomal RNA, 533 nt
Filed under: Aspergillus tonophilus
Lineage: Eukaryota; Fungi; Ascomycota; Eurotiomycetes; Eurotiales; Aspergillaceae
Description: eukaryotic LSU rRNA
Rfam family: 5.8S ribosomal RNA (bases 182-335)
Source: RNAcentral
UGAUCUCUUCCGUAGGUGAACCUGCGGAAGGAUCAUUACCGAGUGCGGGCCCUCUGGGUCCAACCUCCCAUCCGUGUCUAUCUGUACCCUGUUGCUUCGGCGUGGCCACGGCCCGCCGGAGACUAACAUUUGAACGCUGUCUGAAGUUUGCAGUCUGAGUUUUUAGUUAAACAAUCGUUAAAACUUUCAACAACGGAUCUCUUGGUUCCGGCAUCGAUGAAGAACGCAGCGAAAUGCGAUAAUUAAUGUGAAUUGCAGAAUUCAGUGAAUCAUCGAGUCUUUGAACGCACAUUGCGCCCCCUGGUAUUCCGGGGGGCAUGCCUGUCCGAGCGUCAUUGCUGCCCUCAAGCACGGCUUGUGUGUUGGGCUUCCGUCCCUGGCAACGGGGACGGGCCCAAAAGGCAGUGGCGGCACCAUGUCUGGUCCUCGAGCGUAUGGGGCUUUGUCACCCGCUCCCGUAGGUCCAGCUGGCAGCUAGCCUCGCAACCAAUCUUUUUAACCAGGUGACCUCGGAUCAGGUAGGGACCCCAAAG